UAAUAGCUCACUGGUCGAGUCGGCCUGCGCGGAAGAUGUAACGGGGCUAAACCAUGCACCGAAGCUGCGGCAGCGACACUAUGUGUUGUUGGGUAGGGGAGCGUUCUGUAAGCCUGUGAAGGUGUGCUGUGAGGCAUGCUGGAGGUAUCAGAAGUGCGAAUGCUGACAUAAGUAACGAUAAAGCGGGUGAAAAGCCCGCUCGCCGGAAGACCAAGGGUUCCUGUCCAACGUUAAUCGGGGCAGGGUGAGUCGACCCCUAAGGCGAGGCCGAAAGGCGUAGUCGAUGGGAAACAGGUUAAUAUUCCUGUACUUGGUGUUACUGCGAAGGGGGGACGGAGAAGGCUAUGUUGGCCGGGCGACGGUUGUCCCGGUUUAAGCGUGUAGGCUGGUUUUCCAGGCAAAUCCGGAAAAUCAAGGCUGAGGCGUGAUGACGAGGCACUACGGUGCUGAAGCAACAAAUGCCCUGCUUCCAGGAAAAGCCUCUAAGCAUCAGGUAACAUCAAAUCGUACCCCAAACCGACACAGGUGGUCAGGUAGAGAAUACCAAGGCGCUUGAGAGAACUCGGGUGAAGGAACUAGGCAAAAUGGUGCCGUAACUUCGGGAGAAGGCACGCUGAUAUGUAGGUGAAGUCCCUCGCGGAUGGAGCUGAAAUCAGUCGAAGAUACCAGCUGGCUGCAACUGUUUAUUAAAAACACAGCACUGUGCAAACACGAAAGUGGACGUAUACGGUGUGACGCCUGCCCGGUGCCGGAAGGUUAAUUGAUGGGGUUAGC
RNAcentral lists this ribosomal RNA (774 nucleotides) under Escherichia coli. Its description in RNAcentral is "partial 23S ribosomal RNA". It matches the Rfam family "Bacterial large subunit ribosomal RNA", at positions 1135 to 1894 of the family's 2925-position model. The record is from RNAcentral. Lineage: Bacteria; Pseudomonadati; Pseudomonadota; Gammaproteobacteria; Enterobacterales; Enterobacteriaceae.